Bactrocera oleae (olive fruit fly) is the source of this 5440-nucleotide non-coding RNA. The record is from RefSeq and is a predicted model, not a curated record. NCBI's taxonomy places the organism in Eukaryota, Metazoa, Arthropoda, Insecta, Diptera, Tephritidae.
AUAAAAUAAGCUUUUUAUGCUAAGUAUUGUAUUUUCGAAAAACUUCUUAUAAAUAUGCUGCGAGAGACGUUGAAAAAUAUCAGUUUGCAUACAGUUUUCUUGUAGUAAACAUUCACAACCACCAAAAGAGCAAAAUGUUCAAAUAUUUUACCUUCGCCGCCCUCUUCGCAUUUGCCACCGCUGCUCCCGGGUUCAUCGCUGAACCAGUAGUUGCCAAAGUAGGUGCCGUUGUACACACCAUUCCCUCAGCCACCUCCCACCAGAGCAUCACUCAAGUGCACCGUAAUGCGCAUAUUGUUACACCGGUUGUGAAAGCUGUGUCUCCAGUGGUUCAUGUUGCUCCAGUUGUAAAGACCUAUUCUGCCCCUGUGAUUCCAGUAGUCAAGACUGUUGCUCCCGUCGUCCCAGUAGUGAAGACUUACUCCGCUCCAGUUAUUCACGCUGCUCCAGUCGUUCCAGUUGUGAAGACCUACUCCGCCCCGGUUGUUCAUCAUGUACCAGUUGUGAAGUCGGUUGUUUCUCCCGUGGUGCCAGUGGUCCAUGCUGCUCCAGUCGCUCACAUUGUUCAUCACUAAACAUUUUUCAGUGAUCGUGAAGUUGUUAAAUAAAUAUAUAAGCUUUCACUCUACAAAACCUCUCCGCAUUUUUUAAUUUUUAGUAAAUAUAAAAUACUUAUAUAACUGGGGUUAGUUAAUAAUAUUGUUAGAAAUCAUGAAUUUAUAGUCAAAUCAAGAAGAACGCAAAUAAAUGCAGUGUGACCAAAAGCCUUGGUCAGACCGCACUAAUGCACAGUCCAUUAUAUGUGGAAUAUUCAACCAAAAUAUCAUUAGAUAUACACUGGGCCGGACUAUAAUGGAAAUUUGCAACUUGUCCGAAAAUAUUAGCAUGUUGACCUCGUGUUUUCCCGGAAAUUGGGAUCAAUGUGAAGUUUCAAGUUAGAAGCGACAUACUAACGGUAAAAGCAUUAAAGGGAGACUACUCUGCUUUAUAGACUGAUCGCUGGACAUAUGUUACUAAAAAGCGUGACACAACUAAUUCCAACCAAUCGUAUGACUGUAGUAAAAGUUAGAUUUAAGCAGUUGGAACAAUCGGAAAAUCGAUAUAUCGAGGGAAAUAGAUAUAUCGGCCAAAUCAAUGUCAAACUGAUUUCCACAUGAAUGCCUACUGUCGGUCCACUGGUCAUCUUCUGGCAAUGCGCUUGAAGAGUUUGUUCUCACACAAAAAAUAUUAUAUAUAAAAUUUUUUAUUUGGAUUAGUGAUUUAUUUGAAAUAAUUAGGUAUGUAUUAAAUUUAAAAAAUGUGUUGGUGAUCUGUGCUUAUGUGUUUUAGUGCUUAAUCGCGCUAUUUUACCGCUCCGUGUGAAAAAUUGUUUCAGCAUAUGAAAUCCAAUUUUUUGUGGAAGAAAAAUAGGGUGCUGCGCCCUGGUGUUUGAUUUGUUUGUUAAUUUAUUAUAUUGUGUAUAUCAAGUUAAAAAACUAGCUGCAGUUUUUUGCAAGUUUUUGAUUUUUUGGAGUUUUUUAGAUACAAUGUCAGUCUCGAAACGCACCCUUUUUUAAAUUGUUGCAGCGAAUCAGUAGCCACAAACAAAUUUUUGGCGGUGGAAAAUCAUGUGUUUUCUAUUGUUAUUGAUUCCUCAAAGUUUAAUGAAGAUCAAUGCCAACAAAUUCAAAAACAAUUAAGAAAUUUGGUUAUUAAACUGGUGGAUAAGAGGAAAACGAGUGACUGGAUCAUGGUAUUGUCUUAAGAGCGAAAUAAUCAAUGGUUAGAUGACGAUCUAACUUCUUCUGAAGCAGUCGUUGAUCAACGUAAACACAAAACUUUUUCAGAGUGCGCAAUUAAGACCCAAACAAAAAAAUUUCAUCUGUCGUUGAUAAAAACCCCACACGAAGAGUAAAUGGCAGCAGCGCGCGAAGGCUGGAAAAAGGAAUGCUUCGCAAGUCCUUCCAAUGUUGGCCUCAGAAUUUGCAUUGACUUCAAAAUAUAGUUAAAAGUUUAAUUGUUGACACAAAGCUUUGGCUUUCUUUAUAGAUGGAGGCUACACAAAAAGCUCUUAUAAAUGGAAACUGCAAUAGUUAUGCGAGCUAUUGUAUAAUGUUUUGGUUAAAAGUAAAGGUAGUGUUACCCCAAUGGCAUACGCUUUGGUACGCGUGAUUUUACAUGCCUCCAUCGAUUCAUUGUAUAUGGUGCAGAUAUUAUUGAAAAUGUUUCGUUACCAACAGGAAUGAUGCUAGAAGAAGCGCUUGAAGCAAACACAAAAAUUUAUGCAAUUAUAAUUUGAAUCACACUAGAAAAACCUCUAGACAGCACACAAUGGAAGACUUAAUGCUCCGUCCAUCGGUCGUCGCACCCUCUCAUAACCUAGAAAUCUAAAAGUACCGCGAAGUACUCUAAAAAUCACAUUCAUAUAGAUGAUGAGGUCAAGCAGCUUCUUUCACAUGCGAAUGAGUUACCGGACAGCCUUGUGUCCUAAUGGUCGCACUCGAAAUUAAUUUCUAAACAUUUUUUUGAAUACCACAAAAAAUGUGAAGAUGUAGAGCAUUUGUGUAUGGACGUGGCCACAACAUCUAUUGGGUUUAAUGUACAUAUUUCGUAAACUAUUUAAGCUUUAUAUAAAUUUAAUCUAAGCAUUUCGUUUGAGCAUUUCAUGAAUACCUAGUCGGAAAACGCUUUAUACGUAUAUCGGUAUAAAAAUUGACCAAAUUCCCUUAUGAAAUGGAAUAAAUCAAAUUACACCUACGCCAUUAUAAUUUCCAUCAUAUUCUUUCAUUGACUUCAAAGUGUGGCACCUUUAACAAAUAUAGGGGAAAUGCUUGCGAAUAAUUGAACCAUAUACUAUGGACUAAACUAAGUUUUCUUAGAGAUAUUCACUCCUAAGAAAAAAAGUAAUUUCUCCGUUUUUCGAAUUACGUUUCAAAAUCGAUUUAUUUUCCGUCCAAUUUCGAAAUUGUUCAUAUUGAAAAUAUAAUUAUGAAAUACAGUAGCUAAGCCAACAGGUAAAAUAUAGGCUUCAUGCUCAUAUUCUCUCAUUCUAAUGGUUUAUACACCCAGAUACUUGCAAAAAUUAAUUAAUAAGAAACUGGAAAUCGACAUAAUACUUGUAUGUUAUAUCUGUUUGCGAAAUCUGCGCGUUAGGGGAACAUAGAAGAAGUAGCCCUCAGAUGUAGAUGUGAUGUAAAUGUGGGUGUAGAAAUUGGUAGUUAUUGCUCUUGAAAGUUGCAGUGUCCUAAUCGAAGUUAUCUGAGAAAUGCAAGUUGUGUUGCUUCUGAGUCGAUUGAGAAGAAUAAUACUUAACACAUACUUGUAUAUGACACGAACUUGUAAUAACGAAUGAUCCAACGCCUUCUAAAAUGCAUAUACAUACAUAUGUAUGUACGUACAUAAUUCAAUUAGAUUUUUGUCCGCUGUCCAUUCAUUCGAAGUGUGUGUAUAAUAAUAAUGCUUGAAGUGCAGAAACCGGUUACAGAAAACGGUUGCUCUUUAACUCCACACGUUCCUAUAUAUGUAUGUAUUCAACUACUCACUUAUGUAUAAGUAUUGUAUAAGCCUAAGAUUUCUAUUUCUGCCUAUAUAAUUUGCUUUUAAACGUGUACUUUUCGUCUCUCAUUAACAACAACAAAUUAGAUAUGAUAAGCAAUUUGAUUGAUGUCGAGCUUGGUGCUAAGCGCCAAAUGGUUUUGUAUAAAAAAUCAUCCGUUCCAACUUAACUGUAAACCAUGCAAAUAAACAAUUCUCAAAAUGUUUUAAUACGUAAGUAAAUUUCGUUAAAAUUAGUUCGAUAGUUCUUAGAUAUAAGAUUUCACUAAAUGUUGUUGGUGUCAUGCCCAUUUUUCAAUUUAUACACUUCCUUCUAUUAAGCUCUUCCCUACUACUACUACUACGAAGUGCAGCCUCUUUCAGGGAGGUGAGCCUUCGCUCCGACAUCAGAGCAGCAAUACUAGCUCUGAGCUCGCUAAUUGCUCGUUCACUAGAAACAGCAGCAAGCUACUUCAUCAUCAAACUCGUUUGGGUGCCUGGUCAUAGCGGAAUCGCUGGCAACUGCAACGCCGAUGAGCAAGGCAGUGGGCACCCUUGCCUCCGCAAGCAUUCCGACCAUCUCCUAUGCGACUGCUACUACUUGCCCUUAGCAAAGUUCAUGUUGCCACAAUCGUCGAUUUGUAAGGAUCUUAUGUCUUUGAGAAUUAUAUACUGCUGUCUAAAAUGUUCAUUUUCAUAACUUUUCAAAACUUAAAUUGUUUUCAAAACUUAAUUGUGAAAUUUUUUCAAAAUUAAUUUCGUUUUCGGUAGCGAUCUCUGCAUCUCUUGUGGAUCAACUCAACACAUUUUGUUAAUGUCCUGGGUAUGAAGCGGGCCAAUGCCAGACUUGUACCAAAAGGCCGGGAUCGUUUGGAAAAACAACGUCGAGUAGAAGUGACAAAAGAGAUGCUUAACAACACAGAUGAGGACCUUAAAUUCAUCCAACGUAUCAUUGCUGGUGGCGACACGUACUGAGGCUUAUAAUUGGAUUAAACGUUGGAAAAUGGAAUGGAAAAUUGGAUUAAACGUUGGUGGCAAGGAACAUACUCGUAUGUAACUAGUUUCUUCAAUACAUCAAAAUUUUUACUCAAGUUAUCGGUUGCCCAGGCAGACAAGCGGACUGACAGUAUCACGGAUUUCAACACGUCUCUUAUCCACCUUAAUACACUCAACAUGCAACAUGUUGCGAGAGUAUAAAAAGUAACGGGUCGAUCAACUUGGUUAUAAGUGGUAUUAUUAAAAUGGAAUAAAAGCAUUAGCAGAGCUAGCACGGACAUCUGCAUAAGUUUGGAAUGUGCUUAAGUCAAUAUGCUACUCAAGUUAAAGGCAUUAUAUGAGAUAUAUCUUUUAAAGACUUGGAAGGCGGACCAAGCUUAAUUCUGCACGGGAGAUUGGGUACGACAGUAAUUGUUUGCAAAUUGUAGAGAAAUAAUGUGUUCCCUCAUUUUGUUAUUUGAAACAACCAGUGCAAAAAAUGGGCUCCACAUGUGUCACGUAACUCUUGCAUAUAUAUUCUGAAUGAAACUAACCCCCCUUUUGGAAGCACAGGAAGUGACCAGGUCUCCAUCGAAGUAAAAACAUUUUCUCAAACAACAGAGUCUUAUAGGACAGAGUGAAACGAAAAAGCGGACACGACUGCUCUGGUUCGAUCGAGAGGACAAUCUCCAUAAGCUACCCAGAACAUUGAGAUCAUAUAUAGUAAAGGCUGCUAGUAGUAGAGGAUAUCAGAGGGAUCUCAGGUCUUGGAAUACCAUAAAACAGGAUAAAUUACUUCGGUUAGUGUGUAUAGUAAUAUUUAUUUUAGUUGUUCCAGCUUCUUGAGGAGCAUAAGGCCGCGUCAAAUUGUCUCCAUUAAUUCAGCAGGUUCUUUAUUAGCACGUUCGACGAUAUAGAAAGUAAAAUGAGUGUGUAUAGUUCGAAGACGAAA